This 156-nucleotide unclassified non-coding RNA is filed under the name uncultured Pleosporales. RNAcentral's name for it is "sequence contains ITS2". The record is from RNAcentral. Lineage: Eukaryota; Fungi; Ascomycota; Dothideomycetes; Pleosporales.
GUACCCUCAAGCUCAGCUUGGUGUUGGGCGUUUGUCCUGUCUUUAGUGCAUGGACUCGCCUCAAAUCAAUUGGCAGCCGGCAAUCUGGUGGCAGAGCGCAGCACAUUUUGCGCACUUCGCUUUGAAUGUCGGCGUCCAUGAAGGCUACAUUUUUGC